GGCUCAGUGGUAGAGUACUUGCCUUGCAUGCAUGAGGCCUUGGGUUCAAUUCCUCA
Molecule: transfer RNA, 56 nt
Filed under: Dipodomys ordii (Ord's kangaroo rat)
Lineage: Eukaryota; Metazoa; Chordata; Mammalia; Rodentia; Heteromyidae
Rfam family: tRNA
About the family: Transfer RNA (tRNA) molecules are approximately 80 nucleotides in length. Their secondary structure includes four short double-helical elements and three loops (D, anti-codon, and T loops). Further hydrogen bonds mediate the characteristic L-shaped molecular structure. tRNAs have two regions of fundamental functional importance: the anti-codon, which is responsible for specific mRNA codon recognition, and the 3' end, to which the tRNAs corresponding amino acid is attached (by aminoacyl-tRNA synthetases). tRNAs cope with the degeneracy of the genetic code in two manners: having more than one tRNA (with a specific anti-codon) for a particular amino acid; and 'wobble' base-pairing, i.e. permitting non-standard base-pairing at the 3rd anti-codon position.
Source: Rfam by way of RNAcentral